AGAACGAACGUUAGCGGCGCGCUUAACACAUGCAAGUCGUGCGAGAAAGGGGCAACCCCGGUAAAGCGGCGCACGGGUGAGUAACACGUAGAUAACCAACCCCCAGGUGGUGGAUAACCUUCCGAAAGGAGGGCUAAUACAGCAUGAGACCACGCAUUCGCAAGAGUGUGAGGUCAAAGUCGGCCUCUUCAAGAAAGCUGGCGCCAGGGGAUGGGUCUGCGGCCCAUCAGCUAGUUGGUAGGGUAAUGGCCUACCAAGGCGUAGACGGGUAGCUGGUCUGAGAGGAUGAUCAGCCACACUGGAACUGAGACACGGUCCAGACUCCUACGGGAGGCAGCAGUGGGGAAUCUUGCGCAAUGGGCGAAAGCCUGACGCAGCGACGCCGCGUGAGUGAUGAAGGCCCUCGGGUUGUAAAGCUCUGUGGAGGGGGACGAAUAAGUCGUGGCCAACAUCCACGAUGAUGACGGUACCCCUUUAGCAAGCACCGGCUAACUCUGUGCCAGCAGCCGCGGUAAGACAGAGGGUGCAAACGUUGUUCGGAAUUACUGGGCGUAAAGCGUGUGUAGGCUGCUCUGCAAGUCGGAUGUGAAAGCCCUGGGCUCAACCUAGGAAGUGCAUUCGAAACUGCAGAGCUGGAGUCCUGGAGAGGAAGGCGGAAUUCUCGGUGUAGAGGUGAAAUUCGUAGAUAUCGAGAGGAACACCGGCGGCGAAGGCGGCCUUCUGGACAGUGACUGACGCUGAGACACGAAAGCGUGGGGAGCAAACAGGAUUAGAUACCCUGGUAGUCCACGCCGUAAACGAUGGGUGCUAGGUGUCAGGGGCUUUGACCCCUCUGGUGCCGUAGCUAACGCGUUAAGCACCCCGCCUGGGGAGUACGGCCGCAAGGCUAAAACU
This 894-nucleotide ribosomal RNA is filed under the name uncultured bacterium. Its description in RNAcentral is "bacterial SSU rRNA". It matches the Rfam family "Bacterial small subunit ribosomal RNA", at positions 26 to 901 of the family's 1533-position model. The record is from RNAcentral.